AUUAGCUAAGAUGAAAAACACAGUUAAACUUUCGCUUAUUGGUUUUGUCAUGCUCACAGUUCUUCUAUUCGGAGAAACAGUGAUUGCUCAGAAAGGAAAACCAUGUUAUUCAGAAGAGCCAGACAAAACAUGUGAAGUCAAGCGCUGCAAAGCCAACUGUGUC
Molecule: long non-coding RNA, 163 nt
Organism: Brassica napus (rape)
Lineage: Eukaryota; Viridiplantae; Streptophyta; Magnoliopsida; Brassicales; Brassicaceae
Exons: 2
Source: RefSeq, a predicted model, not a curated record